AUUUUUUGAAUUGGAAAGGUAAAAGAAUAAGAACCUGUGGGUUGAGAUAAAGACAGUUUACUAGGUAAAACAAAAGCUGUGCAUGCAAGCAAAGCAAAACAAUGAAUUCAUUCUCUGCUUCCCAUCGGCAGGCAGGUGUUCAGCCAUUUCCAGGAAAGCAGAGCUCAUCACACAUAACAGUUUCAUGGGAAGACAAACGCCGUCACUCAGUGUUCUCUCCUUCUUUCCCCCACCUUUCCUUUUUCCCCAAAAGGACUUGUCUGAUACCACACUACUGAGCUCCAAAUCAAAGAUGGGUGGCAGGUAUGACAAGGAAAACGAAGAGCAUGCUGUAAUUAUUAACUGUCUACUGACCUAA
This 358-nucleotide long non-coding RNA is filed under the name Anser brachyrhynchus (Pink-footed goose). RNAcentral describes it as "lncRNA (ENSABRG00000014952.1)". The record is from RNAcentral. Lineage: Eukaryota; Metazoa; Chordata; Aves; Anseriformes; Anatidae.